Small nucleolar RNA from Medicago truncatula (barrel medic), 103 nucleotides. It matches the Rfam family "Small nucleolar RNA R32/R81/Z41". Rfam says of the family: This family contains the related snoRNAs R32, R81 and Z41 which are members of the C/D class of snoRNA containing the C (UGAUGA) and D (CUGA) box motifs. Most of the members of the box C/D family function in directing site-specific 2'-O-methylation of substrate RNAs. NCBI's taxonomy places the organism in Eukaryota, Viridiplantae, Streptophyta, Magnoliopsida, Fabales, Fabaceae. The record is from Rfam.
AGAUGAAUAUGAUGAAAAAAAUAAUGAAAGAUAUCUGAAAAUCAAAUACUUUGUAUUUGAUAUGAUCGAACAAAAUUAUCGCUACGUUCUUUCUGAUUCAUCU